CCUUAUUUGCAGGGAUCGCCGAGCCCCAGGCGCUAAAACUUCAUACUUUGGGGACACUGGGAGAAGAAGGAGACAGGGAAGGGAGACUGCGUAGUGGAAAGGAUGCCAGCAUUUCCUCAAAGCACGUUCCUGACACGAGGCAUCAGACGGCCCUGAACUUCAUCUCCUAAGGGCCCCAUGGGACCUGUUCCCACGGCCCUGUGUCAACCAGACCACUUGGCGUUUUCUCACCCACAGAGCCCCACAGAGUCCCACAGAGGCUCAAUUCUUUCCCGUCCGUGUCCAGGCCCCGGGAGUUGCUGGCAUGCCACAGUGUGGCUGGCAACAGUCGGCCUCCCCAGAGCAGCUGCUGGCUCCGUAUUCACCGGCAGCAGGUUAACGGGGGCAGGUGUGGCUGCUGGGAUGCACCUGGAGAUUCAUCAGCCAGAGGCUUCUAAAUGUUCCCUGUUUGCUCCGCCCAGACAGUUUCUCGUCUACCGCAUGCACGCACCCCUUGCUCCUGCUCCUCGCUCAGCAGGGCCAGGGGUCUUACUGCUAUUUCUUGUCCUCAUUUGGUGGAAUUGAAGGAAGGUUGGGAGCUCAAGCAGCAGGCGAAGAGCCGCCAGAAGGGACGGCGGCGGGAGACACGACUGGCUCUCUCUGUUGGGGGAAUGUCCCCAGGAGAAGGUAAGGCAGCUGGGUUGGUCCGCUUCCCUGGCUGGACCUCCUUCCCUACAAAAGUGGUGUCCUCUGCUGGGAGGGGAGGAGAACUGAGCCUGCGAAGUUGGUGGCAGGAAGCGGCAGCCUAAACAAUACAAAGUAGCUGAAGGAUCUUCUUGGUCUUCGCCAUUGCUAUUUUCCCUAUACCUAGAGCAGUGCCUGGCAGACAGUUGUUGCCCAAGAAGAUUCCCCGAAUGAAUGAAUGCAGGAAAUUGUUCCCUCCUCCAGUGAGCGGAACAGCUGAUCCGUGCUCUGCAAGGAGGGAGCUCUCUGCCAGUGGGGGAUGGGAGAUGGUUUUGAGAGCCACGCCGUGGAGAGAGCUGCAUUCAGGCAGGAAACUGGAGCUGAGGAGCCCAGGCGACGUCUGCUGUGUGGUUAGACAGUGAUCCAAAGCCACACGCCAAGGAUGGGAGCCAGCCCUCGCGCUCCCGCCCCCAGUCCUUUCCUGGGAAUCGCAUGUGGUCAGCAGAGCCUGUGGAAGUCGGAUUUGCUUGGAGAAACCACUGGGAGAUUGGAGUGGAAUGCAAAGCCAAACACCACUGUUCCCAGAUCAGCUCCCAAAGGGAACCUCCCGGAGGCCCGGCCUCCUCACCUCCGGACCACUUCUCCAGGAGGCCUCGUCUAUGACAAGGACUGAUGUGGGGCACAGCUGCCCAGUGUCCUCCGGGAGGCCAGGUAUGUGGUCUGGGAGAGGCCCACCUCACCCGCUUCUGAGAGUAACUUCAGGGAAACUAAAACGAAUAGUACCAAAGACCAGCUCCCCCUCUGUUGAGGUUUGGGAUUAAAUAAAGCAAACAAAACGCAGUAGCAAAAAGCAUCGGUGCUAUCUAGGUAUGUGUCUCCUCUCAAGAUGUGAACAUACAGGUGUGAGGUGUGUAAAGCUCAGUUUCCGGUCAGCCAGGUGGAGCCGCGCGACGGCUUUGCAGUCGGGAAAGUUCUGCAGUUCUCGCUCUUCCGGCUGCGGCAAAGAUCAGGCUUUACUGGCCUUGAUUGUUGCGAAGAGUUUGGUGUGAACUUGUGCUCAUUCUUCUUCUCCUCUUCUUUCUCCCUCCCUCUCUCUCUCUCUCUCUCUCUUUUUAAUUUCAAGGGAAAGGAGACAAUCAUUUUCCCUGCAACUUCCCUCAGCACCUCUUGGUAGGCUUUUUGUGGCAUU
This is a long non-coding RNA of Lemur catta (Ring-tailed lemur), 1852 nucleotides long. RefSeq lists it as uncharacterized. Lineage: Eukaryota; Metazoa; Chordata; Mammalia; Primates; Lemuridae. The record is from RefSeq and is a predicted model, not a curated record. The transcript is spliced from 3 exons.